Molecule: RNA transcript, 1808 nt
Organism: Xyrauchen texanus (razorback sucker)
Lineage: Eukaryota; Metazoa; Chordata; Actinopteri; Cypriniformes; Catostomidae
Exons: 5
Source: RefSeq, a predicted model, not a curated record
AAAUAGGCUGGAUGCAAUGUUGUGCUAGCCUCUGGAACAAUGCUAAAGAAAUCACUGGUUAAGCCCUGAUGGGCCAGUGGAGUUUUGGUGUGAAGGUGUGAGGCUGGUGGACUGGCAAAAAUGCUAAGAAAUAAAGUGAUACAAGUUUGAAUGGCAUUAAGAACUUGGAGGAAAACAUUACAAGGACAAGAGAAGCGGGGCAGCCAGUGUGCGAGCAAGCGAUGACCGAGGAAUCAAGCCACAGGUGGCAGAAGAAGCAACAACUGCCUCCUCUUCUCCUCCUCAGACAGCAGCACUUGCCUCCUCUAGGCUGCUGACACCAUGCCUGAUGGUUUCUCCUGUCUCAACAGAGUUCCAUGACAUGGCCGUUACUGAGUCAGAGUUCCUCAACAUGGCCGCCGCCGAGCCAGAGUCAGCUCCAGGCCAUGUCACAGUUGCACCAGAGUCAGCUCCAUGCCAUGUCACCACCGCUCCUGAGUCUGCUCCAUGCCAUGUCACUGCCAAACCUGAGUCUGCUCCAUACCAUGUCACCGCCAUGCCUGAGUCUGCUCCAUACCAUGUCACAGCCAAGCCCCAGACUUCUCCAUGCCAUGUCACAGCCGAACCUCAGUCUGCUCCAUGUCAUGUCACAGCCAAGCCCCAGACUGCUCCAUGCCAUGUCAUAAGCAAGCCUCUGCUCCACGUUCCAGGCCAGCCUCUGCUCCACAGUCCAGGCCGCCUCCUCUCCACGGUCCAGGCCCGCCUCUGCUCCACAGGGGACCUCCAUCCCUACAACUCCACCUUGGUCCUCAGCCACAUUGGCUCCACCCCUCGAGUCUCUCACCCCCCAGACUCCACCUUGAUCCCAUGCUCCACGCCCUGCUACGUCAAGUUGCCACCUCAUAACAUUUAUAUGCAUAAGAAAACGUUAAACCUGUGUUGUUAUAUUUUUUUGUUUAUUUGUUUGGCUGGGAAACUUAUGUAACAUAUAGGGGCAAAGUUGUUUUAUGUAAACACGCGGCCUGAUGUUGAGUGAGAAAAAAAAGAAAAAGUGUGUUGAGAAAAAUAUCAUGCUCCUGUAUAUAUCCAUGCCUGUUGUAGUCCUGAAUCCUUUGCAAAAGAAAAGAAAAAAAGACUGGGGCGAAUACAAUUUGAAACAAAAAGCAGUUGUCCUUAUAAUUUUGAAGAGUGCAACAAUAGCAAAGAAACUGUUGCAUGUCAUCGAGCAACCCACAGAUUGACUCAUAUUAAACAUAUUUACCUUUUGAGCAGCAGUGAACAUACCUAGCAAACUAUAAGACUAAUGAGCUAGAACUUGCUUAACAUAAACAGCUGUUUUUAAAGUCAAAUUGAAAUAAUCUUAGUUUGCCUUGUAUUACUGUCAUCUAAAACUUGACCAUUGCUUGGUCCUUUUACAGUAACAAAAGACACUUUCACCUAAAAUGACUGUGAUAUGAGCAGUGAGACAGAUCCAUGUACCAGCGCUUGAUGCACAUUAUUGUUUACAUUUUUUUUUAUUAUAUUUGACACAAAUUACAUGAUGAAUAACUGAACAUUUUCAGUAACUUUUUGUUUAAUAUGUUCAGCUUUAACUUGUGCUCCAAGACUGAAAUGUGCAUUGCAGACCAGGUUAGAUGUGUAGAAUAAUCAAACAUUUAUGAAAACAUUUACCAGAGGAAAGUUUAUAGUUAGAUGAACCACCAAGGGCAGGUGGGUUACUACAAUGGCAUCUCAUAACUUAGAAAGUAUGUCAGAGACUGUCUUUCUGUUUAUAGACUGUAAAAUGAAGAUAAUAAAAGGGUCAUAAUUACAGCCCAGCACCAUAACUA